UCAAUCAGCUUUAAAAAGGAUUUGGGGUUC
Molecule: non-coding RNA, 30 nt
Filed under: Rattus norvegicus (Norway rat)
Lineage: Eukaryota; Metazoa; Chordata; Mammalia; Rodentia; Muridae
Source: RNAcentral